GCAGUCGUGGCCGAGUGGUUAUGGCGAUGGUCUUGAAAACCAUUGCGUUCUUCCCGCGCAUGUUCGAACCCUGUCGACUGCG
This 82-nucleotide transfer RNA is filed under the name Rhipicephalus microplus (southern cattle tick). Its description in RNAcentral is "tRNA-Ser". It matches the Rfam family "tRNA". From Rfam's summary of the family: Transfer RNA (tRNA) molecules are approximately 80 nucleotides in length. The record is from Rfam by way of RNAcentral. Lineage: Eukaryota; Metazoa; Arthropoda; Arachnida; Ixodida; Ixodidae.